RNA transcript from Cottoperca gobio, 2585 nucleotides. It is a transcript of the gene named tyrosylprotein sulfotransferase 1, with no coding region annotated. The record is from RefSeq and is a predicted model, not a curated record. The transcript has 7 exons. NCBI's taxonomy places the organism in Eukaryota, Metazoa, Chordata, Actinopteri, Perciformes, Bovichtidae.
CUCGUCUUUCAACGCCAGUAGCUCAGUCCCGUUGUAACAGUUCAGUUGGCGUCACCCGCAUCACCUCCAGUCUACCGUGCGACUGACGCGGUCUGUGUACACAGAAAAUGCCCAGAAAGUGACUCUAGAGGACGGCAGGACUGUCCGGACAUUGGCACUGGAUUCCGUGAAGGUUUUAUGCCCGACAGACCCAAGUCUCCUGCGCCGUAUCCGCAGCAUUAGGCCUCAUGGAGCUGGGGACUCGACGCCUGCUGUGCACCAGGGAGCUCGAUCCAUGCCCGGUUCCUAGCAAACGACCAUAAAGGGUUGGAAUCUUGAUUACCCUUCAGUUCCUUUUGCCCAUCCCUCCCCCUAAUUUGCCCCUGUGGUGAUAUUGCGCCUCCUGCCUGUGGCCUGCAACAUGAUUGGCAAGCUGAAACAGAACCUGCUGGUGGCCUGUCUGGUCAUCAGCUCCGUCACGGUCUUCUAUCUUGGCCGCCAUGCCAUGGAGUGCCACCAUCGCAUAGAAGAGCGAAACCAGCCUGGCGGGAUCCUGCCUCUGUCAGCGUUGGGAGGCAGCAUGCGGACCACCUUACGGACAGGCCAGAAUCUCAGCACACCUUUUGUUUACAACAAAGACAUGCCACUCAUCUUCAUUGGAGGAGUACCCCGCAGUGGGACAACGCUAAUGCGAGCCAUGCUGGAUGCCCACCCUGAGGUGCGCUGUGGCGAAGAAACUCGCGUCAUACCUCGUAUCCUGGCCAUGAAGCAGAUGUGGAGCCGCUCAGGCCGGGAGAAGAUGCGCCUGGACGAGGCCGGUGUGACAGAUGAGGUGCUGGACGCCGCUAUGCAGGCUUUCCUGUUGGAAAUCAUUGUCAAACAUGGAGAGCCCGCCAACUUUCUCUGCAACAAGGACCCUUUUGCUUUGAAGUCGCUUUCCUAUCUGGCCAAGAUCUUUCCCCGUGCCAAGUUUUUACUUAUGAUUCGUGAUGGCCGGGCUUCAGUCCACUCAAUGAUAUCACGGAAGGUGACCAUUGCCGGCUUUGACCUGGGCAGCUACAGGGACUGCCUGACCAAGUGGAAUCGGGCCAUAGAGACCAUGUACACACAGUGCCUGGAGGCAGCGGACAAAUGCCUACCUGUGCACUACGAACAGUUGGUCCUUCAUCCGGAGAAAUGGAUGAAGACACUGCUAAAAUUCCUUGACGUUCCUUGGAAUGACGCUGUCCUCCACCAUGAGGAGCUCAUUGGAAAAGCUGGAGGAGUGUCGCUCUCAAAGGUGGAGAGGUCCACAGAUCAGGUCAUCAAGCCCGUCAAUGUGGAGGCCUUGUCCAAGUGGGUAGGGAAGAUCCCAGCUGAUGUCGUGAGGGACAUGGCCGUCGUCGCCCCCAUGCUGUCCAGACUGGGCUACGACCCCCAUGCCAACCCUCCCAACUAUGGCCGGCCUGACCCCAAAGUCCUGGACAACACCAGAAGGCUUAUUUCAGCCUCCAGCAGAGCAUGCAUACACGCCCGUCCUCCUGCAGAGUUUCAGUGUGCAGUUCAGAUGGAAGCAUUUUAUUUGAGGUCUUUAAAGGUGAAUUUCAGCUACCAGAUUUCCUAAAAGAACAAUCACAGAUUCAGAAGUCUGCAGAGAGACCCAAACCCAGUUAGGAGCAGCGGGAGUGCCAUCCCCACGACACACAGGAACAGAGAUGCAGUUGAACAGAAAAUCAUGGACAUCGUCUCACCCAUCUCCCCAUCUGUGUUGAGCCUUCGUCACAUGACCACAGCGGGACCGUUUCCUUACCAGAGUAUCCGGAGAACUCUUGGCCUUCGAUGUUGUACUGUACAGAAAAUAAUGCUUAUACUUCUCACAACCACAGAAUGUCUGCUGAUUGUUACUUUUCGUGUCACAUCACGCUCAUCGAUUUUUUUUUUUUUGAAAUUAUUUCUGGCUAUUUAGACAAAACACUCUGUGAUUCUGUUGUAAGAAACUGCAGUGAACUGAAAUCGCAAGAAGCAUUUAUGAAUGGAAAUUAGCUUUUGGAAGAUGCAAUACCUAUUUUAAUGUUACUUUUUUUUCAUGCCUUUGUAUUGUGCAAUGUCAUGGUUACUGAUCAGUAUUGACCGUGAUAAACAUUGUUUGUUUUUUUUAAACCUGUUGUCAGUCUGGUUAUUUUGGAGGAACAGAGACAUUAUUAGUUCUGUGAAAAGAAAAUAGAGAGGAGAGUGAAAAUAACUGAACACUGACAUUUUAUUUAUCAUUUCAGGUGAAGGUGUUUCAGUAAGUCCUGAUGAUUCCAGUUUAAGUUGAAAACGCUUCAUGAUUCUUGACAGUAGUAAAUACGUUUGGAUGUAUGUCCUUCUUCACAUGGACAAGGCUGGAUUACUAACCUGGCAUAGGGAGCAGCUGCCACAGGGCCUCAGACCCCCAGGGGCCCUAAAAAAGCCCCAAAUUCCCAGCGGGUCAAGAGGUUCUAUGGAAUUAGAAUUUGCGCUAUGAAGUGAAUUAAAUCUCAAAUGAACGAAGAGGUGUCCUGAUGUGGACAUGUGUUUUAAAGGGACACUUAGACUUUACUUUAUACUGUGGUGCAUAUUCUUAAAUAAAGUUUUGUUCAAUCAAA